RNAcentral lists this small RNA (125 nucleotides) under Marmota monax (woodchuck). Lineage: Eukaryota; Metazoa; Chordata; Mammalia; Rodentia; Sciuridae. The record is from RNAcentral.
GCCUGGUGUGCGGUGGCGCACACCUGUAAUCCCAGCAGCUCGGGAGGCUGAGACAGGAGGAUCACGAGUUCAAAGCCAGCCAGCAAUGGCAAGGUGCUAUGUAACUCAGUAAGAACCUGUCUCUA